GUUCUUGUAGUUGAGAGGCCAACGGUGGUUUUUCAGAUCACAGACCUUGGAGAAAAGCCAAGCAAGAACC
This 70-nucleotide transfer RNA is filed under the name Balaeniceps rex (shoebill). RNAcentral describes it as "tRNA-Glu". Lineage: Eukaryota; Metazoa; Chordata; Aves; Pelecaniformes; Balaenicipitidae. The record is from RNAcentral.